GAGUUUGAUCCUGGCUCAGGAUGAACGCUGGCGGCGUGCUUAACACAUGCAAGUCGAACGAGAAUCAUUGGAUCAAGGAUUCGUCUGAGUGAAGGUGAGGAAAGUGGCGGACGGGUGAGUAACGCGUGAGCAAUCUGCCUUGGAGUGGGGAAUAACGGCUGGAAACAGCCGCUAAUACCGCAUGAUGUGUCUGUUUCGCAUGGGAUGGACACCAAAGAUUUAUCGCUCUGAGAUGAGCUCGCGUCUGAUUAGCUGGUUGGCGGGGUAACGGCCCACCAAGGCGACGAUCAGUAGCCGGACUGAGAGGUUGGCCGGCCACAUUGGGGCUGAGACACGGCCCAGACUCCUACGGGAGGCAGCAGUGGGGAAUAUUGGGCAAUGGGCGCAAGCCUGACCCAGCAACGCCGCGUGAAGGAAGAAGGCUUUCGGGUUGUAAACUUCUUUUCUGAGGGACGAAGAAAGUGACGGUACCUCAGGAAUAAGCCACGGCUAACUACGUGCCAGCAGCCGCGGUAAUACGUAGGUGGCAAGCGUUAUCCGGAUUUAUUGGGUGUAAAGGGCGUGUAGGCGGGAAAGCAAGUCAGAUGUGAAAACUCAGGGCUCAACCCUGAGCCUGCAUUUGAAACUGUUUUUCUUGAGUGCUGGAGAGGCAAUCGGAAUUCCGUG
This 666-nucleotide ribosomal RNA is filed under the name uncultured bacterium. RNAcentral describes it as "bacterial SSU rRNA". It matches the Rfam family "Bacterial small subunit ribosomal RNA", at positions 9 to 673 of the family's 1533-position model. The record is from RNAcentral.